CUGAUCCAGCAAUACCGCGUGUGUGAAGAAGGCCUUAGGGUUGUAAAGCACUUUCAAUUGGAAGGAAAACCUCGUGGCUAAUAUCCACGAGCUUGACAUUACCUUUAGAAGAAGCACCGGCUAACUCCGUGCCAGCAGCCGCGGUAAUACGGAGGGUGCAAGCGUUAAUCGGAAUUACUGGGCGUAAAGCGUGCGUAGGCGGCUCGUUAAGUCAGAUGUGAAAGCCCUGGGCUCAACCUGGGAACUGCAUUUGAAACUGGCGAGCUAGAGUUUAAGAGAGGUAAGUGGAAUUUCAGGUGUAGCGGUGAAAUGCGUAGAGAUCUGAAGGAACACCAGUGGCGAAGGCGACUUACUGGCUUAAAACUGACGCUGAGGUACGAAAGCGUGGGUAGCAAACAGGAUUAGAUACCCUGGUAGUCCACGCCGUAAACGAUGUCAACUAGCCGUUGGCUCUCUUUGAGAGUUAGUGGCGCAGCUAACGCAUUAAGUUGACCGCCUGGGGAGUACGGCCGCAAGGUUAAAACUCAAAUGAAUUGACGGGGGCCCGCACAAGCGGUGGAGCAUGUGGUUUAAUUCGAUGCAACGCGAAGAACCUUACCUACCUUGACAUCCAGAGAAUCUGUUAGAGAUAGUAGAGUGCUUCGGGAACUCUGAAAGUGUGAUGUGUCGUCAGCUCGUGUGG
Molecule: ribosomal RNA, 682 nt
Filed under: uncultured bacterium
Lineage: Bacteria
Description: bacterial SSU rRNA
Rfam family: Bacterial small subunit ribosomal RNA
Source: RNAcentral